Molecule: ribosomal RNA, 497 nt
Filed under: uncultured bacterium
Lineage: Bacteria
Description: partial 16S ribosomal RNA
Rfam family: Bacterial small subunit ribosomal RNA
Source: RNAcentral
GAUGAACGCUAGCGGCGUGCCUAAUACAUGCAAGUCGAGCGAACGGACGAGAAGCUUGCUUCUCUGAUGUUAGCGGCGGACGGGUGAGUAACACGUGGAUAACCUACCUAUAAGACUGGGAUAACUUCGGGAAACCGGAGCUAAUACCGGAUAAUAUUUUGAACCGCAUGGUUCAAAAGUGAAAGACGGUCUUGCUGUCACUUAUAGAUGGAUCCGCGCUGCAUUAGCUAGUUGGUAAGGUAACGGCUUACCAAGGCAACGAUGCAUAGCCGACCUGAGAGGGUGAUCGGCCACACUGGAACUGAGACACGGUCCAGACUCCUACGGGAGGCAGCAGUAGGGAAUCUUCCGCAAUGGGCGAAAGCCUGACGGAGCAACGCCGCGUGAGUGAUGAAGGUCUUCGGAUCGUAAAACUCUGUUAUUAGGGAAGAACAUAUGUGUAAGUAACUGUGCACAUCUUGACGGUACCUAAUCAGAAAGCCACGGCUAACUACGUG